AUUGAACGCUGGCGGCAGGCCUAACACAUGCAAGUCGAGCGAGCGGCGGACGGGUGAGUAAUGUCUGGGAAACUGCGUGAUGGAGGGGGAUAACUACUGGAAACGGUAGCUAAUACCGCAUACCAUCAGAUGUGCCCAGAUGGGAUUAGCUCGGAGGUGGGGUAACGGCUCACCAAGGCGCAGAUCCCUAGCUGGUCUGAGAGGAUGACCAGCCACACUGUAACCGAGACACGGUCCAGACUCCUACGGGAGGCAGCAGUGGGGAAUAUUGCACAAUGGGCGCAAGCCGGAUGCAGCCAUGCCGUGUGUGUGAAGAAGGCCUGCGGGUUGUAAAGCACUUUCAGCGGGUAGGCGUUACCCGCAGAAGAAGCACCGGCUAACUCCGUGCCAGCAGCCGCGGUAAUAC
Molecule: ribosomal RNA, 406 nt
Filed under: uncultured bacterium
Lineage: Bacteria
Description: partial 16S ribosomal RNA
Rfam family: Bacterial small subunit ribosomal RNA
Source: RNAcentral